AUCCAAGAGAAAAUCACUGAAAGGUCAUAAAGACCAUUCUUAAGUAUUUAAGAAAUACUAAGGAUCAGUGGCUUGUAUAUGGUAAAACUGACUUGAAACUUGUGGGAUUCUCCGACUCCAGCUUUCAGUUAGAUCAUGACGAUAGCAAAAGUAUGUUGAAUUAUAUUUUUAUUCUAAAUGAUGAGUGAUCUGCAGAAAAAAUUUCAAGCAGUACACUAUGGCAA
This 224-nucleotide long non-coding RNA is filed under the name Elaeis guineensis (African oil palm). Its description in RNAcentral is "long non-coding RNA (EGUI_LNC053195)". Lineage: Eukaryota; Viridiplantae; Streptophyta; Magnoliopsida; Arecales; Arecaceae. The record is from RNAcentral.